Molecule: ribosomal RNA, 2921 nt
Filed under: Bacillus cereus MSX-D12
Lineage: Bacteria; Bacillati; Bacillota; Bacilli; Caryophanales; Bacillaceae
Description: bacterial LSU rRNA
Rfam family: Bacterial large subunit ribosomal RNA
Source: RNAcentral
UUAAGUUAGAAAGGGCGCACGGUGGAUGCCUUGACACUAGGAGUCGAUGAAGGACGGGACUAACGCCGAUAUGCUUCGGGGAGCUGUAAGUAAGCUUUGAUCCGAAGAUUUCCGAAUGGGGAAACCCACCAUACGUAAUGGUAUGGUAUCCUUAUCUGAAUACAUAGGGUAAGGAAGACAGACCCAGGGAACUGAAACAUCUAAGUACCUGGAGGAAGAGAAAGCAAAUGCGAUUUCCUGAGUAGCGGCGAGCGAAACGGAACAUAGCCCAAACCAAGAGGCUUGCCUCUUGGGGUUGUAGGACAUUCUAUACGGAGUUACAAAGGAACGAGGUAGACGAAGCGACCUGGAAAGGUCCGUCGUAGAGGGUAACAACCCCGUAGUCGAAACUUCGUUCUCUCUUGAAUGUAUCCUGAGUACGGCGGAACACGUGAAAUUCCGUCGGAAUCUGGGAGGACCAUCUCCCAAGGCUAAAUACUCCCUAGUGAUCGAUAGUGAACCAGUACCGUGAGGGAAAGGUGAAAAGCACCCCGGAAGGGGAGUGAAAGAGAUCCUGAAACCGUGUGCCUACAAAUAGUCAGAGCCCGUUAACGGGUGAUGGCGUGCCUUUUGUAGAAUGAACCGGCGAGUUACGAUCCCGUGCGAGGUUAAGCUGAAGAGGCGGAGCCGCAGCGAAAGCGAGUCUGAAUAGGGCGUUUAGUACGUGGUCGUAGACCCGAAACCAGGUGAUCUACCCAUGUCCAGGGUGAAGUUCAGGUAACACUGAAUGGAGGCCCGAACCCACGCACGUUGAAAAGUGCGGGGAUGAGGUGUGGGUAGCGGAGAAAUUCCAAUCGAACCUGGAGAUAGCUGGUUCUCCCCGAAAUAGCUUUAGGGCUAGCCUUAAGUGUAAGAGUCUUGGAGGUAGAGCACUGAUUGGACUAGGGGUCCUCAUCGGAUUACCGAAUUCAGUCAAACUCCGAAUGCCAAUGACUUAUCCUUAAGAGUCAGACUGCGAGUGAUAAGAUCCGUAGUCAAAAGGGAAACAGCCCAGACCGCCAGCUAAGGUCCCAAAGUGUGUAUUAAGUGGAAAAGGAUGUGGAGUUGCUUAGACAACUAGGAUGUUGGCUUAGAAGCAGCCACCAUUUAAAGAGUGCGUAAUAGCUCACUAGUCGAGUGACUCUGCGCCGAAAAUGUACCGGGGCUAAAUACACCACCGAAGCUGCGGAUUGAUACCGAAUGGUAUCAGUGGUAGGGGAGCGUUCUAAGGACAGUGAAGUCAGACCGGAAGGACUGGUGGAGUGCUUAGAAGUGAGAAUGCCGGUAUGAGUAGCGAAAGACGGGUGAGAAUCCCGUCCACCGAAUGCCUAAGGUUUCCUGAGGAAGGCUCGUCCGCUCAGGGUUAGUCAGGACCUAAGCCGAGGCCGACAGGCGUAGGCGAUGGACAACAGGUUGAUAUUCCUGUACCACCUCUUUAUCGUUUGAGCAAUGGAGGGACGCAGAAGGAUAGAAGAAGCGUGCGAUUGGUUGUGCACGUCCAAGCAGUUAGGCUGAUAAGUAGGCAAAUCCGCUUAUCGUAAAGGCUGAGCUGUGAUGGGGAAGCUCCUUAUGGAGCGAAGUCUUUGAUUCCCCGCUGCCAAGAAAAGCUUCUAGCGAGAUAAAAGGUGCCUGUACCGCAAACCGACACAGGUAGGCGAGGAGAGAAUCCUAAGGUGUGCGAGAGAACUCUGGUUAAGGAACUCGGCAAAAUGACCCCGUAACUUCGGGAGAAGGGGUGCUUUCUUAACGGAAAGCCGCAGUGAAUAGGCCCAAGCGACUGUUUAGCAAAAACACAGCUCUCUGCGAAGCCGUAAGGCGAAGUAUAGGGGGUGACACCUGCCCGGUGCUGGAAGGUUAAGGAGAGGGGUUAGCGUAAGCGAAGCUCUGAACUGAAGCCCCAGUAAACGGCGGCCGUAACUAUAACGGUCCUAAGGUAGCGAAAUUCCUUGUCGGGUAAGUUCCGACCCGCACGAAAGGUGUAACGAUUUGGGCACUGUCUCAACCAGAGACUCGGUGAAAUUAUAGUACCUGUGAAGAUGCAGGUUACCCGCGACAGGACGGAAAGACCCCGUGGAGCUUUACUGUAGCCUGAUAUUGAAUUUUGGUACAGUUUGUACAGGAUAGGCGGGAGCCUUUGAAACCGGAGCGCUAGCUUCGGUGGAGGCGCUGGUGGGAUACCGCCCUGACUGUAUUGAAAUUCUAACCUACGGGUCUUAUCGACCCGGGAGACAGUGUCAGGUGGGCAGUUUGACUGGGGCGGUCGCCUCCUAAAGUGUAACGGAGGCGCCCAAAGGUUCCCUCAGAAUGGUUGGAAAUCAUUCGUAGAGUGCAAAGGCAUAAGGGAGCUUGACUGCGAGACCUACAAGUCGAGCAGGGACGAAAGUCGGGCUUAGUGAUCCGGUGGUUCCGCAUGGAAGGGCCAUCGCUCAACGGAUAAAAGCUACCCCGGGGAUAACAGGCUUAUCUCCCCCAAGAGUCCACAUCGACGGGGAGGUUUGGCACCUCGAUGUCGGCUCAUCGCAUCCUGGGGCUGUAGUCGGUCCCAAGGGUUGGGCUGUUCGCCCAUUAAAGCGGUACGCGAGCUGGGUUCAGAACGUCGUGAGACAGUUCGGUCCCUAUCCGUCGUGGGCGUAGGAAAUUUGAGAGGAGCUGUCCUUAGUACGAGAGGACCGGGAUGGACGCACCGCUGGUGUACCAGUUGUUCUGCCAAGGGCAUAGCUGGGUAGCUAUGUGCGGAAGGGAUAAGUGCUGAAAGCAUCUAAGCAUGAAGCCCCCCUCAAGAUGAGAUUUCCCAUAGCGUAAGCUAGUAAGAUCCCUGAAAGAUGAUCAGGUUGAUAGGUUCGAGGUGGAAGCAUGGUGACAUGUGGAGCUGACGAAUACUAAUAGAUCGAGGACUUAACCAU